AUAAUUUUUUUUUUAAUUAAGAACUUUUUACAGGAAUUGACCCCACAAAGAUUCUCGGACAUCGUCAUUUCUCUUAAAUCGAUUAAAUAACUACCAUUCGAUCGUGGCGUGUCUCAAUCUCUGAUUUGAAUCGCGUCUCCUCCCUCCCAGAAACCCUCUUCCGCCCCGAAAACAUCAACCCUUCCAGAAACCCUAAUCUCCGAUCGAAACCCCAACCUUCCAUCGUUCUCAUCUCAUAAUCGAUUUCCCUUUCUUUCGGUGGAUUUUGGAACUCGCUUUCGCUUCCUUCGGCGAUUCGAUGCAGAUCACCGAGGAGCAGAGGAGGAGGGCGGAGGCGAACCGGCUAGCUGCCCUCGAGAAGCGGAAGCGGGCGGCGGAGGUAGCGGAUGUCGAAUCUUGGAAGCUCUCCAAGUGCCGCAACAUGCCCAGCCCAGCGACGGUGGAAGCCGCUGUCACGCUGCGGCCGCUCUCCCCGUUUCGGGCCGUCUUUGAGAUCUGUUCUCCUGACGAGUUCUCUGUCACCCCGGAGCCUCUACAGGGUUCUUGGUUCCCCGGCGAGGCCGAUUGUCUCCAGAUCAUCGAGACUUGCGUCUCAUCGGUUGUUCCUUUCUACCUCACGCUUAGCCAGGGUGGUCGAAGGACUUCUGUCUUCAAGCUUUCGGAUUAUGACUCAGUGUUGAGAUGCAUAAAGAAGUUAGCAGUGGUUGAACUGCAAGAAAUCCCUUACACGACACGUUUGGUCGUUGAGAAGUUCUCACAGUCGGUAGGCAGUUGGUGGGUACCUUGCAUGGAGGGCCACCGCACGGAGGAACAAGUUGAUGAGCUUCUUGGGAAACUACCCAGGUCUCUAAGAAAUGCACUUCUUCCUUUUCAACUGGAAGGUGUUAGAUUUGCACUUCGAAGGGGUGGGCGAUGCCUCAUUGCAGAUGAAAUGGGUCUAGGAAAGACUAUACAGGCAAUCUCAGUAGCAAGUUGCUUCAGUGAUGAAGGCCCUGUCCUAAUUGUUUGUCCAGCUGUCUUGCGAUUUUCAUGGGCUGAGGAAUUAGAGCACUGGCUUCCCACCCUUUUACCAAAGGAUAUCCAUCUUGUAUUUGGUCAUCGAGAUAAUCUUGACUACUUGGAAAGGCAUCCAAAGGUGGUUGUUGUUUCAUAUACAAUGUUGAAUCGUUUGCAGAAGACUAUGUUGGAAAGAAAUUGGUCACUUAUGAUUGUCGAUGAAUCACAUAAUGUACGCUGCACAAAGAAACAAAUGGAGUCAGAAGAGACAAAAUCUGUACUUGCAUUGGCAGCAAAGAUCAAGCGCAUCAUUCUACUUUCAGGGACACCUUCUUUGUCAAGGCCCUAUGACAUUUACCAUCAGAUCAAUAUGUUAUGGCCUGGGUUGCUUGGAAAGGAUAAGUAUGAAUUUGCAAAGAGUUAUUGCUCAGUCAAACUUGUUCAGCGCUCUCAUGGGGUUGUUUUUAAGGACUUUUCAAAGGGUAUCAGACUGGGAGAGUUAAAUAUACUACUUGGGCAAACCGUGAUGGUAAGGCGUUUGAAGGAACAUGUAUUAACACAACUACCACCCAAGCGUCGCCAAAUUGUAUGGGUGGUGCUGAAGGCAGCUGAUAUUCUUCUAGCAACAUCAUCAUGUUCUACAAGUGGCACAAUGGUCAUGGAUGGAGAAUCCAGAAAGGAAUCUUUUGUAGAUUGUUUUUCUGACCAAGAUAAAUGUGAUGGAGAUCAGAAACUGGAGAAAUAUGAUGCCUGUCCAGGCACUGAGUGCAGAAAAUCUCAAAAGCAUCUUUCCCAUCAAGAAAUUGGCAUCGCAAAAUUAUCUGGAUUUCGUGAGUGGUUCUCCAAUCAUUUCAUAUUUAGAGAAUCAGAGGAUGUAGAUAGUGUAGAGAUGGGACUUUGUUCUCAGAAAACAAUAAUAUUUGCUCAUCAUUUAAAGGUUCUAGAUGGAAUACAGGCAUUUAUAUGUGAGAAAGGGAUUAAAUUCGUUCGACUUGAUGGCAACGUACUUGGUAGAGAGAGGAAACAUGCUGUUGAAACUUUUCGUUUCUCAACAGAGGUGAUGAUUGCAAUAAUUGGAAUAACUGUCGGAAGCUGUGGGCUAGACUUUUCAUCGUCACAGAAUGUCAUCUUCUUAGAGCUGCCAGAAACUUCAGCAGAAAUGAUUCAGGCUGAAGAUAGAGCUCAUAGGCAAGGGCAAAGUAAUGCGGUCAACAUUUACAUUUUUUGUGCAAAGGGUACAUCUGAUGAAUCACGGUGGCUGCACUUAAAUAAGAGUUUCUUUUGUUGUUCAUCCAUGACUAAUGGGAAAAAGUAUGCCAUAAAACAGAUAGAGGUGGGCUCAGUUCUUCACCUGAAAUAUAAUGAUAAUUCUCUGAGCGAUUCUUCUAUGGGAAUUUCCACAGUUGACCUGAGUAGAAGUUCAGUCAAGCAGACUAUGCAAGCUAUUGAAAUGUAUAACAUAACAGCUCAAGGCAAUGAAAGCAGUGUUCAACAUAAUCAGACUACCAAGGAUCACGAUAUGGAUGGCGAGGAGCAUUCUUUGAUACAUGAAAAUCAAAAUAUCGAUGGCCAUGGAGAACAUACAGAACAAUCUAACACUGAUUCUAUCUGCAAAACAAUAAAAUCAUACAAUGACACACAGUUUGAUUUGUUGGAGAAUAGUGCCUUUGAGGAGAAGCUACUCUCUGGAAUGUCAAAUGAUGUUGAGGUUGUAGUAUCCGAGCCAGUAAUAGUUGAUGAGCAUUACAAUACUCAAGCAGAGUGGCUUCGGUUUGAGGUGAGCCAAUAUACAGGGCGGGUUCACUUGUACAUUUGCAUUCCUGGAACGGAUGAAAGACCUAGACCAGUUUUUGAAAAUUUUCGUCCAGAGGAAUUAAAGUCAAUCUUAGUUUCUGCUGGUAAUACAUUUAAGGAAGCAAGUCCAGAAACCCUGAAGACAAAUCCUGCUUACUGGAAUGUUAUCAAGAAAUUUUUUGAAGAAUGGAAUGGUUUAAGGCCUAUUGAGCGGAAUAAACUUCUUGGAAAGCCUCUACAACUUCCUCUUAUUGCUGAGCUUUGCUAUUUGAAAGAUAGCAUCAACCAUGUUCAUGGAGGAUUGCUGAGAGGUGGAAGUAAUAGACGGGUUACCCCUUUAAGUGAUAUUAGCUGUCCUUUACCAGAAAAUUCAUUCUGGAAGAAGAUUACUCUACAUCAUGGUGCUGCAAAGGAAAGAGAGUACAAGCAGGCCUGGACCACAGAAGAUGUACCUCUUUGUAAACUUUGCCAAGACCCUUGCAAUGGAAAGCUUGCAAAAGCACCCGAAUACUUUGAAGAUCUAUUUUGUAACCUGAGUUGCUUUCAAGAAUACCGGAUAAGAACUAGUCGAAGCGCCCUUCGGGAGGCACUUUUCCAAAUAGAAAAUGGUGUAUGUACACAUUGCAAGCUGGAUUGUCACGAACUAGUCAAAUGUAUAAGACCUUUAUCCAAAUCUCGGCGGAAGGAAUACAUUGAAAAAGUUGCUCCAAAGUUGGCACAAAAGAAGAAGUUGCUUGAUAAGCUUGUCCAUGAACCAACUGAGGGGAAUGCCUGGCAUGCAGACCACAUAAUUCCGGUAUACAAGGGAGGAGGUGAAUGUAGCCUAGAAAAUAUGAGAACCUUGUGUGUGGCCUGUCAUUCGGAGGUCACCAUGGCUCAACAAGAUGAGCGACGCUUAGAAAGGAUGCAGGCCAAAAAGCAACUAAAAAUAGCCAUGAAGGAACUGGAAAAUAUUAAACCUUUUAACUCUACUGCUGAUGAAGGUGGAGAUAAACAGGUUGCUGAAGAAGACCCUCUGUUCGUCAAGGUCCCUGGUAGUGUUUAUUCGAGAAAUGAGCAAUGAAGAUUCGAAAACUUCAUUGAAAUGCUGCAUCCUAGAGCUGUUCUGUUGUUCAAAGGACUUUUUAGGGAAGUAGACUUGGAGAAGCGGGUGGAAAAUGUACUGUAGAACAAGAUGGAAUUACUUCCAGAGGAAUGUUUAUAGCGUCUCCUAGAAGAUAGAAACAGUCAUGAUUGUGACCUGGGUCAUGGUGUCCGCACAGAGCUUUAUCUGAUUUCGACUACGUCCGCUGCCUUCCAUGAGCAUCCAGUGCUACAGCUUUGGCACGCACUUGUAUUCACAAGAAAUUUCUGGAAGCUGAAGAAUUAGAAAUCAAAGAAACAAUCUGGUGGCCAGCCGAAGGAUGUUUGCGAUUUCAUUUAAAGAUCACACCAGGAGGGUAAACAAAUGAAAUUUAAAACGUUGACGCCAUUGAAGAUGAGAUAUGUUGUUCUGUUCCGUCUUAUUCUUUUCUUUUGGGGAGGGGAGGUUAGAUGAAUAUUGUGGUGUUUCUUUAUGUUUCGGAGUUUGGUGUAUGCAUUUUCAAUUUGAUGAUCCAAGAUUGGUUUCUAAAGAAGGAUUCUUCUUG
Musa acuminata subsp. malaccensis (wild Malaysian banana) is the source of this 4418-nucleotide non-coding RNA. The record is from RefSeq and is a predicted model, not a curated record. Lineage: Eukaryota; Viridiplantae; Streptophyta; Magnoliopsida; Zingiberales; Musaceae.